RNAcentral lists this ribosomal RNA (403 nucleotides) under Fusobacteriota bacterium. RNAcentral's name for it is "Fusobacteria bacterium partial 16S ribosomal RNA". It matches the Rfam family "Bacterial small subunit ribosomal RNA", at positions 355 to 776 of the family's 1533-position model. The record is from RNAcentral. Lineage: Bacteria; Fusobacteriati; Fusobacteriota.
UGGGGAAUUUUGCACAAUGGGGGAAACCCUGAUGCAGCGACGCCGCGUGUACGAUGAAGAUCUUCGGAUGGUAAAGUACUGUCCUUGGUGAAGAUAAUGACUGUAACCAAGAAGCAAGCCCUGGCUAAAUACGUGCCAGCAGCCGCGGUAAUACGUAUGGGGCAAGCGUUGUCCGGAAUUAUUGGGCGUAAAGGGUACGUAGGCGGUUAUUUAAGUCUAAAUUAAAAGGCAUUGGCUCAACCAAUGUAAGGUUUAGAUACUGGAUAACUUGAGUAGAUGAGGGGAAAGUGGAAUUCCAUGUGUAGCGGUGAAAUGCGUAGAUAUAUGGAGGAACACCAAUGGCGAAGGCAACUUUCUGGAAUCAAACUGACGCUGAGGUACGAAGGCGUGGGGAACAAACAGG